RNAcentral lists this long non-coding RNA (621 nucleotides) under Physcomitrium patens. Its description in RNAcentral is "long non-coding RNA (PPAT_LNC003971)". The record is from RNAcentral. Lineage: Eukaryota; Viridiplantae; Streptophyta; Bryopsida; Funariales; Funariaceae.
AAAAAAACUAGAUAUUGGUACCCAGAGAGGGCCGGUUAUGAACCAGGGUUGAAAUCAGACCCUGAGGCAAAAAACCGAGUCUUGACGAUGACUCCAAGACUCUUUGGCUAAUUGAAGAGUGGGGUUUGAAAGAAGAUUGAAUAAGAUUUCUAUGGGCAUUGAUUUUGGAUAAUUUGGAAUUGAUUUGACUUUAUAAGAUCUUUGCAAAGUCAAAGUUUGUUUUGGAUGACUUGGAUUUUAUAAAAUAAAAUAGGAUUUACGUAUUGGAUGAUUUCAAGAGUUUUGUAAUAGAUCUAUGGAUGAAAUUUUGUGGGUUUAUGGUUGUAGUUGUGUUUAAUAUGUCUUGUGAAUUUGAGCUCGAUGUAACGGUUGAAUUGAAGAAUAUUGAGGCUUAAGUGGGUCAAGGUCUCAAAAAGUAGAAUUUUAGGUCUAGUGGGGGAUUUUAAGAUUUCUUGCAAUCUAAUGUUUGGAUUGGAGUGAAACUUAUGUGAGAGGAUAUUAGACUUGAUUUUCUAUGUGUAUGAGAAUUUUGAAAUCAAUCCAAUAGUGCAAAAGAGAGAUAUUGGUUUUGGAAGAUUGGCAUCAAGCUUAGAAAAGGAGGCCAGCCAAUACCUGAGCACA